This 465-nucleotide ribosomal RNA is filed under the name uncultured bacterium. Its description in RNAcentral is "partial 16S ribosomal RNA". It matches the Rfam family "Bacterial small subunit ribosomal RNA", at positions 28 to 507 of the family's 1533-position model. The record is from RNAcentral.
GACGAACGCUGGCGGCGUGCUUAACACAUGCAAGUCGAACGGAAAGGCCCCUUUGGGGGUACUCGAGUGGCGAACGGGUGAGUAACACGUGAGUAACCUGCCCUUGACUUCGGGAUAACUUCAGGAAACUGGGGCUAAUACCGGAUAGGAAUCCUUGCUGCAUGGUGGGGGUUGGAAAGCUUCGGCGGUUUUGGAUGGACUCGCGGCUUAUCAGCUUGUUGGUGGGGUAGUGGCUUACCAAGGCUUUGACGGGUAGCCGGCCUGAGAGGGCGACCGGCCACAUUGGGGCUGAGAUACGGCCCAGACUCCUACGGGAGGCAGCAGUGGGGAAUAUUGCACAAUGGGCGGAAGCCUGAUGCAGCAACGCCGCGUGCGGGAUGACGGCCUUCGGGUUGUAAGCCGCUUUCAGCAGGGGCGAAGCUUGUGGUGACGGUACCUGCAGAAGAAGCACCGGCUAACUACGUG